Molecule: long non-coding RNA, 875 nt
Filed under: Nicotiana benthamiana
Lineage: Eukaryota; Viridiplantae; Streptophyta; Magnoliopsida; Solanales; Solanaceae
Description: long non-coding RNA (NBEN_LNC014120)
Source: RNAcentral
GCAUCUUGAUCAUGUUUCACUUGUUGAGAGCAAUCAGUUAGACCACUUUAAGCUGAACUCUAACGAGAACCAUAUAAUCCAGCAAACAGAUGAAGUUUCUCCAACUCUAUCAGAGUAUCCUGAGGAAGGGUUGAAUAAUGUGGAUGGUCCUGUUCAUCAGGGGAAUCCUCUUGCUUCUACCAGUGUUGGUUGGACAGCAGUUAGCAUAGCUACUUCUUAUGGACGUGCCACUCCCAUAAGUCAUGAAUAUUCUUCUGUUGAGGAGUUGUCACUUGGGCAUACUCGAGUUACUGAUGAGCCAGCGGCUAAUCUUAUUAAUCUGGGAGCUGUCCCUACUGAAAAGGAUGCUGGGAGGGAUAUGUUGCCCAGAGAACCCAGUGAUGUUUCUCUUUUUGGUUCAUACCCUCAGAACAGGAAUGAAAUAUUUCAACCAUUUUUUAAAGGUCCAGAUAAUUUAUCUUACAAUCAUGAGCAUAGACAGCCUCCACUGGUGUACCAGCCAUCAAGCAAUCUGAUCGUGGAGCCAGGUCAAUAUUCUGGUCAUUUAAGGGAGCAGCUUCAUGCGCAGUUACCAUUGGAGCUAAGGCACAAGGGACUGAAUGAUCUCCUCUCGCAUCAGAACUUUCAGGAGAAUCUAUACCCAGAUGGAGGUCGAUACUCUUUCCCUAGGCAUGAGCAGUUGAAUGUUGGCAUGCAAGAUUGGGCAGUCAAUUCUGUUCAUGUAUCACUAGGAUCUUGCACAAGGGACUGAAUGAUCUCCUCAUGCAUCAGAACUUCCAGGAGAAUCUAUACCCAGAUGGAGGUCGAUACUCUUUCCCUAGGCAUGAGCAGUUGAAUGUUGGCAUGCAAGAUUGGGCUGUCAAUUCUGUUCAUGU